AGAUCAAAUUGUUGGUCAUACCUUGGUACGCACUGGCAUUAUUAAUUUCUCCCUUCUGACGAACCAUGAUGUCAUUAAUUUGGUGUCUUGGGGAAUCAGGACUGUUACUUUGAAAAAAUUAGAGUGUUUAAAGCAGGCUCACGCUUGAAUACAUUAGCAUGGAAUAAUGAAAUAGGACGUUUGAUUCUAUUUUGUUGGUUUCUAGGAUCGACGUA
RNAcentral lists this ribosomal RNA (215 nucleotides) under Campeiostachys nutans. Its description in RNAcentral is "Elymus nutans partial small subunit ribosomal RNA". The stretch from base 38 to 215 matches the Rfam family "Eukaryotic small subunit ribosomal RNA", at positions 685 to 864 of the family's 1831-position model. The record is from RNAcentral. Lineage: Eukaryota; Viridiplantae; Streptophyta; Magnoliopsida; Poales; Poaceae.